RNAcentral lists this ribosomal RNA (358 nucleotides) under uncultured Archaeospora. RNAcentral describes it as "partial 28S ribosomal RNA". Lineage: Eukaryota; Fungi; Glomeromycota; Glomeromycetes; Archaeosporales; Archaeosporaceae. The record is from RNAcentral.
GAGAGUUAAACAGUACGUGAAAUUGUUGAAAGGGAAACGAUUGAAGUCAGUCAUGCCGGCGUUGGAUUCAGCUUGCUUCGCGGAGCUUGCGCAUUUCCUCGCAUGGCAGGUCAGCGUCAGUUUUGCGCGGCGUGAAAAGGCUCGGGUAAGGUAGCUCUCUUCGGGGAGUGUUAUAGACCUGGGCAAAUGCGCAGCGCGGGACUGAGGAUUGCAGCGGACACCUCUUCGGAGGCGCGGCGACCGAACCCUGCUCGGCCACCCGAGUUCGAUAGCAUGCUAACGGACGCGGGAGCGGCAGUGCACCGGAACAGGCAAGCCAGCGGUUCGCUUAGGAUGCUGACGUAAUGGCUUUAAACGA